AGUUCGGAUUGAAGGCUGAAAUUCGCCUUCAUGAAGUCGGAAUUGCUAGUAAUGGCAGGUCAGCAUACUGCCGUGAAUACGCUCCCGGGCCUUGUACACACCGCCCGUCACACCAUGAGAGUUGGAGAUACCCGAAGCCUAUGAGCUAACUUUUAGAGGCAGUAGUCGAAGGUAGAAUCAAUGAUUGGGGUGAAGUCGUAACAAGGUAUC
This 210-nucleotide ribosomal RNA is filed under the name uncultured bacterium. RNAcentral's name for it is "partial 16S ribosomal RNA". It matches the Rfam family "Bacterial small subunit ribosomal RNA", at positions 1290 to 1500 of the family's 1533-position model. The record is from RNAcentral.